This 561-nucleotide ribosomal RNA is filed under the name Sordariomycetes sp. RNAcentral's name for it is "eukaryotic LSU rRNA". The stretch from base 257 to 410 matches the Rfam family "5.8S ribosomal RNA". Lineage: Eukaryota; Fungi; Ascomycota; Sordariomycetes. The record is from RNAcentral.
GUCUCCGUUGGUGAACCAGCGGAGGGAUCAUUAGCGAGUUAAUUACAAACUCCAAACCCAUGUGAACAUACCUACUGUUGCCUCGGCAGGCCGUGCUGCGCGGCUGGAUCGCCCACCCCCCGCGUGGGUAGCUACCCUGGAGUAGCUACCCUGUAGCGGGAGCGGCCCGCCCCGCGGCGCGCCAACAGGCCUGCCGAAGGACCCCUAAACUCUGUUUUGCACCUGUAUCUCUGAGUUUAUUAUACAAAUAAGUUAAAACUUUCAACAACGGAUCUCUUGGUUCUGGCAUCGAUGAAGAACGCAGCGAAAUGCGAUAAGUAAUGUGAAUUGCAGAAUUCAGUGAAUCAUCGAAUCUUUGAACGCACAUUGCGCCUAAUAGUAUUCUGUUAGGCAUGCCUGUUCGAGCGUCAUUUCAACCCCCAAGCCCUAUUUGCUUGACGUUGGGAGUUUACGGAGACGUAAUUCCUCAAAUAUAGCGGCGGAGCUAGGUCGUGCUCUAAGCGUAGUAACCAAAUUCUCGCUUCUGAAGCCGGCCCGGGUCCUGCCGUAAAACCCCCUAUA